RNAcentral lists this long non-coding RNA (568 nucleotides) under Gallus gallus (chicken). Lineage: Eukaryota; Metazoa; Chordata; Aves; Galliformes; Phasianidae. The record is from RNAcentral.
GUGCUGCAAUAUGUUUCUAUCUCAGUGGAAAUGCUGGUCAAGAAUUCCUCAGACCACAUACUGGUAUGGGUCUGCUUUUCCUUGGUCUGGUGUUGCGAAUGGGCUAAGCCAUGCUAUAGAGAACGGAUGGCCAAAUACUGCUUUCAUGUUCAUCCAUUUUGUUUUUUUAGCCCAUCUUCUCUCUUCCUUUUUCAAUUGCUCUAUUCCCGUUUCAUCAGUGCAGAUGGAGUGUACUUGGGUCCCAAACAUAACCGAGGUGAAGAUGAGAAAGAGAAGAGCCUCAAAACACAAGAGGAUGAGAAGGAUCACUGUGGUUGGUGGAGAGAAGGAGCUGCAUUUUGUCCAGUCUUCUUCAAAGCAAUACAAGAAGUGAAAUCCCACCAUAAUUAGAGCAUGCAGGGAAAUCAGUGCUAUAUACAUUGUAAACAGUACGAAGUACUUCUGGUUAUUCUCUCCUACGCAGUUAUUGACCCAUGGGCAGUGAUGGUCCAUUUUCCGGAUACACCUCUUGCAAACGCUGCAGUGAUGUGCUCUGUCAGGUUUGAUGCUACAACAUUUUGGGCACUUG